RNAcentral lists this non-coding RNA (29 nucleotides) under Homo sapiens (human). Lineage: Eukaryota; Metazoa; Chordata; Mammalia; Primates; Hominidae. The record is from RNAcentral.
UGCCAUAGAUAGUGAUUCCUUUGAAGGAU